This 1022-nucleotide ribosomal RNA is filed under the name Torpedospora ambispinosa. RNAcentral's name for it is "SSU rRNA". It matches the Rfam family "Eukaryotic small subunit ribosomal RNA", at positions 74 to 1106 of the family's 1831-position model. Lineage: Eukaryota; Fungi; Ascomycota; Sordariomycetes; Torpedosporales; Torpedosporaceae. The record is from RNAcentral.
UUAUACGGCGAAACUGCGAAUGGCUCAUUAUAUAAGUUAUCGUUUAUUUGAUAGUGCCUUACUACUUGGAUAACCGUGGUAAUUCUAGAGCUAAUACAUGCUAAAAACCCCGACUCCGGGAGGGGUGUAUUUAUUAGAUUAAAAACCAAUGCCCUUCGGGGCUCACUGGUGAUUCAUGAUAACUUCUCGAAUCGCACGGCCUUGCGCCGGCGAUGGUUCAUUCAAAUUUCUUCCCUAUCAACUUUCGAUGUUUGGGUAGUGGCCAAACAUGGUGGCAACGGGUAACGGAGGGUUAGGGCUCGACCCCGGAGAAGGAGCCUGAGAAACGGCUACUACAUCCAAGGAAGGCAGCAGGCGCGCAAAUUACCCAAUCCCGAUACGGGGAGGUAGUGACAAUAAAUACUGAUACAGGGCUCUUUUGGGUCUUGUAAUCGGAAUGAGUACAAUUUAAAUCCCUUAACGAGGAACAAUUGGAGGGCAAGUCUGGUGCCAGCAGCCGCGGUAAUUCCAGCUCCAAUAGCGUAUAUUAAAGUUGUUGUGGUUAAAAAGCUCGUAGUUGAACCUUGGCCCUGGCUGGCCGGUCCGCCUCACCGCGUGCACUGGUCCGGCCGGGGCUUUCCCUCUGUGGAACCCCAUGCCCUUUACUGGGCGUGGCGGGGAAACAGGACUUUUACUUUGAAAAAAUUAGAGUGCUCCAGGCAGGCCUAUGCUCGAAUACAUUAGCAUGGAAUAAUAGAAUAGGACGUGUGGUUCUAUUUUGUUGGUUUCUAGGACCGCCGUAAUGAUUGAUAGGGACAGUCGGGGGCAUCAGUAUUCAAUUGUCAGAGGUGAAAUUCUUGGAUUUAUUGAAGACUAACUACUGCGAAAGCAUUUGCCAAGGAUGUUUUCAUUAAUCAGGAACGAAAGUUAGGGGAUCGAAGACGAUCAGAUACCGUCGUAGUCUUAACCAUAAACUAUGCCGACUAGGGAUCGGGCGAUGUUUUUCUUUGACUCGCCCGGCACCUUACGAGAAAUCAAAGUGC